GACGUAGGGCGCAAGCGUUGUCCGGAAUUAUUGGGCGUAAAGAGCUCGUAGGCGGCUUGUUGCGUCGACUGUGAAAAACCACGACUCAACCGUGGGACUGCAGUCGAUACGGGCAGGCUAGAGUUCGGUAGGGGAGACUGGAAUUCCUGGUGUAGCGGUGAAAUGCGCAGAUAUCAGGAGGAACACCGGUGGCGAAGGCGGGUCUCUGGGCCGAUACUGACGCUGAGGAGCGAAGGCCAGGGGAGCAAACGGG
RNAcentral lists this ribosomal RNA (253 nucleotides) under uncultured bacterium. RNAcentral describes it as "partial 16S ribosomal RNA". It matches the Rfam family "Bacterial small subunit ribosomal RNA", at positions 524 to 776 of the family's 1533-position model. The record is from RNAcentral.